Molecule: ribosomal RNA, 253 nt
Filed under: uncultured bacterium
Lineage: Bacteria
Description: partial 16S ribosomal RNA
Rfam family: Bacterial small subunit ribosomal RNA
Source: RNAcentral
UACGUAGGAUGCAAGCGUUGACCGGAUUUAUUGGGUUUAAAGGGUGCGUAGGCGGCGUUUUAAGUUAGUGGUAAAAACGUUCGGCUUAACCGGAUACCCGCCAUUGAUACUGAUAGACUUGAGUGCGACAGAGGGUGUUGGAAUGUGUGGUGUAGCGGUGAAAUGCUUAGAUAUCACGCAGAACACCAAUUGCGAAGGCAGAUGCCUAUGUCGUAACUGACGCUGAGGCACGAAAGCGUGGGGAGCAAACAGG